RNAcentral lists this ribosomal RNA (427 nucleotides) under uncultured bacterium. RNAcentral describes it as "bacterial SSU rRNA". It matches the Rfam family "Bacterial small subunit ribosomal RNA", at positions 958 to 1399 of the family's 1533-position model. The record is from RNAcentral.
AACGCGAAGAACCUUACCUCGGCUUGACAUGCACGUGGUACUGACCCGUAAGGGAAGGGACCCGCGAGGGAGCGUGCACAGAUGCUGCAUGGCUGUCGUCAGCUCGUGCCGUGAGGUGUUGGGUUAAGUCCCGCAACGAGCGCAACCCUUGUCCUUAGUUAUCAUGUCUAGGGAGACCGCCGGUCUAAACCGGAGGAAGGUGGGGAUGACGUCAAGUCAGCACGGCUCUUACGUCGAGGGCUACACACACGCUACAAUGGCCGGUACAACGGGCUGCCAAGGGGCGACCUGGAGCUAAUCCCACCAAAGCCGGUCUCAGUUCGGAUCGCAGGCUGCAACUCGCCUGCGUGAAGUCGGAGUUGCUAGUAACUGCUGGUCAGCACACAGCAGUGAAUACGUUCCCGGGCCUUGUACACACCGACGCGUA